RNAcentral lists this ribosomal RNA (301 nucleotides) under uncultured bacterium. Its description in RNAcentral is "partial 16S ribosomal RNA". It matches the Rfam family "Bacterial small subunit ribosomal RNA", at positions 509 to 807 of the family's 1533-position model. The record is from RNAcentral.
CAGUAGCCGCGGGAAUACGAAGGGGGCUAGCGUUGUUCGGAAUUACUGGGCGUAAAGCGCACGUAGGCGGAUAUUUAAGUCAGGGGUGAAAUCCCAGAGCUCAACCUUGGAACUGCCUUUGAUACUGUUUGUCUUGAGUUCGAGAGAGGUAAGUGGAAUUCCUAGUGUAGCGGUGAAAUGCGUAGAUAUUAGGAAGAACACCAGUGGCGAAGGCGACUUUCUGGACGAAAACUGAAGCUGAGGCGCGAAAGCUAGGGGAGCAAAUGGGAUUAGAUACCCCAGUAGUCCCUGUCUCUUAUAC